UACGUAGGGUGCGAGCGUUGUCCGGAAUUAUUGGGCGUAAAGAGCUCGUAGGCGGUUUGUCACGUCUGCUGUGAAAUCCCGAGGCUCAACCUCGGGCCUGCAGUGGGUACGGGCAGACUGGAGUGCGGUAGGGGAGAAUGGAAUUCCUGGUGUAGCGGUGAAAUGCGCAGAUAUCAGGAGGAACACCGACGGCGAAGGCAGCUUGCUGGGCCGACACUGACGCUGAGGCGCGAAAGCCAGGGGAGCAAACGGG
This 253-nucleotide ribosomal RNA is filed under the name uncultured bacterium. Its description in RNAcentral is "partial 16S ribosomal RNA". It matches the Rfam family "Bacterial small subunit ribosomal RNA", at positions 524 to 776 of the family's 1533-position model. The record is from RNAcentral.